AGAUACGGCUCCGUACACAUACGGCUCCGUACACAUACGGCUCCGUACACAUACGGCUCCGUAUGCGUACGGAGCGCCACAGACCGCCGGGAAAUUCAAAUUUUAUUUAAAAAUCGUCACACGUAUACGGAGCCGUGUACAUGCGGAGUCGUAAGCAUACGGAUCCGUAAACUUACGGUCUUAAAUGAAAGUAGCGGGGAAUUCAUAUUUUGAAUUUGAAAAAGUCGCACGUUUGCGGAGCUGCACAUGUACGGAGUCGUACACAUACUGAGCCGUACAUAUACGACUAAAUAAAUUUUUUAAGGCUUUGAAGAGGGAUAAUCGAUAAGCACUCUUUACUUGCCGUUAUUUUACUCAUAUCUGACUGGUUUAUAUCAUUUAUACGUCUCUUUAAUACUUUCAGCUAGCAUACACAUGAUACUCCCUCUUUUUCCAAUCUCUUUAUUCAUACUAGUCCGUUCUUCCCCAAUGCGUAUUCUAAAGUAUUGUUGAAUCUUGCUACUGUUCGAGUACUUUGUUGGGUGCCGUUAAUAGAUUAUAGUAUUAAUUAAUCUGCAAUAAUAUUCAUAUAACCACUAACAAGAAAUCUAUAGACAUGAGUUUAUGUCUUGGUAGAGAAUUCAACUCUAAAGCAGAGUUUGACGAUGCAUGUAAUAAAUAUUACCAAGAAACUGGAAGAAAGUUUACUUUUUCGACUAAUUACAUUGACACGAGAAAUUUAAAGAAAGUCAUAAAAAAUCGUAACCUCGAAAUCUACCACUGCUUGACGAGAUGCAUUCAUCACCGCGAACCUAAAGUUCUAAAAAAACGCGUGCGUAACCCUGUCAUCAAGACUAAGUGUGAAGCAUAUUCUUCCGUAUGAACAUCUACAAUGAAGAUAAAUUAUGAAUCUACAAAUGGAACGACAACCACAAUUGCGAAAAUGUGUCUUCAUCAUUAUUGGCUAUAGCUAAUUCAUCGCAGCAUCCACCGACUACUCCAGAUAAUUCUGCUGGUCCUUCAAAGAAGCGCUGGACCGACAAAAUAACAAAAAGCUUUCCAAAGCUUCCUUCCAUUUCUCCAGCUAACGAAACGAGUUCCAUACUUACAUCGGAUGAAGAGCCUUUGAUCGAAUCUCCGCCUUUCCCUGGUUAAAAAAGAAAAUUAAUAAGGAUUAAAAAUUGAAUGCAUCCUUUUUAAUUCUCCGUGGAGAAUUAAAUGGAAUUAAAAAGAAUUCAGAAUUAUAAGUUUCUUAUUCUACUUAAUCCUCCAUGAAGAAUUAAGUAGAAUUCAAUAGCAUGUCAAAUAAGAGAAAUUCAAUACUUUCAAACUCUCCGCAGAGAAUUAAAUAGAAUCAAAAAGAAUUCACAUUUUGAGAUUUUUCAUACUUUUAAAUUCUCCUUGGAGAAUUAAAUAGUAUCAAAAAGAAUUCACAUGAUGAAAUUUUUAAUACUUUUAAAUUCUCCGCAGAGAAUUAAAUAGUAUUGGAAAGAAUUCACCUACACAAAUUUUCAAUACUUUCGAUUUCCUCGCAGAGAAUUAAAUAGUAGUAAAAAGAAUUCACAUUUUGAAACUUUUAAUACUUUUGAAUUCUCCUUGGAGAAUUAAAUAGUAUCAAAAAGAAUUCACAUGAUGAAAUUUUUAAUACUUUUGAAUUCUCCGCAGAGAAUUAAAUAGUAUUGGAAAGAAUUCACUUACACAAAUUUCCAAUACUUUCGAUUUCUCCGCAGAGAAUUAAAUAGUACCAAAAAGAAUUCACGUUUUGAAAUUCUUCAUACUUUUAAAUUCUCCUUAGAGAAUUAAAUAGCAGUAAAAAGUAUUCACAUUUUGAAAUUUUUAAUACUUUUGAAUUCUCCGCAGAGAAUUAAAUAGUAGUAAAAAGAAUUCACAUUUUGAAAUUUUUAAUACUUUUAAAUUCUCCUUGGAGAAUUAAAUAGUAUCAAAAAGAAUUCACACGAUGAAAUUUUUAAUACUUUUGAAUUCUCCGCAGAGAAUUAAAUAGUAUUGGAAAGAAUUCACCUACACAAAUUUCCAAUACUUUCGAUUUCUCCGCAGAGAAUUAAAUAGUACCAAAAAGAAUUCACAUUUUGAAAUUCUUAAUACUUUUAAAUUCUCCUUAGAGAAUUAAAUAGUAGAAAAAAGAAUUCACAUUUUAAAAUUUUUAAUACUUUUGAAUUCUCCUUGGAGAAUUAAAUAGUAUCAAAAAGAAUUCACAUGAUGAAAUUUUUAAUACUUUUGAAUUCUCCGCAGAGAAUUAAAUAGUAUUGGAAAGAAUUCACCUACACAAAUUUUCAAUACUUUCGAUUUCUCCGCAGAGAAUUAAAUAGUAGCAAAAAGAAUUUACAUUUUGAAAUUUUUAAUACUUUUAAAUUCUCCUUAGAGAAUUAAAUAGUAGUAAAAAGAAUUUACAUGAUGAAAUUUUUAAUACUUUUGAAUUCUCCGUAGAGAAUUGAAUAGUAUUGGAAAGAAUUCAUAUGAUGAAAUUUUUAAUGCUUCUGAAUUCUCUGCAGAGAAUUCAAUAGAAUUCACCAUUACAAGCUUUUUAUCCUAUUUAAUCCUACAUGGAGAAUUAAAAAGGAUUUAAUAGCAUUUAAAAGUAGAGAAAUUCAAGACUUUUGAUUUUUUUACAGAGAAUUAAUUAGAAUUGAGGGUCAUAAGCUUUUCAUUCUAUUUUGUACUGCAGGGAGAAUUAAGUCGUUUUAAACAGCGUUUGAAAUAAAAGACUCACCCCAGAUUAAAAAUAUUCAUUGAAAAGAAUUGAAAAAAUUCGCUCCAUGCAAAUUGUAUAUCUAUAUAUGAAA
Long non-coding RNA from Cotesia glomerata, 2780 nucleotides. RefSeq lists it as uncharacterized. The transcript is spliced from 3 exons. Lineage: Eukaryota; Metazoa; Arthropoda; Insecta; Hymenoptera; Braconidae. The record is from RefSeq and is a predicted model, not a curated record.